This 253-nucleotide ribosomal RNA is filed under the name uncultured bacterium. Its description in RNAcentral is "partial 16S ribosomal RNA". It matches the Rfam family "Bacterial small subunit ribosomal RNA", at positions 524 to 776 of the family's 1533-position model. The record is from RNAcentral.
UACGUAGGGAGCAAGCGUUAUCCGGAAUUAUUGGGUGUAAAGGGUGCGUAGACGGGAGUCUAAGUUAGUUGUGAAAUCCCUCGGCUCAACUGAGGAACUGCAACUAAAACUGGACAUCUUGAGUGCAGGAGAGGAAAGUGGAAUUCCUAGUGUAGCGGUGAAAUGCGUAGAUAUUAGGAGGAACACCAGUGGCGAAGGCGGCCAACUGGGCUUUAACUGACGCUGAGGCUCGAAAGUGUGGGGAGCAAACAGG